Molecule: ribosomal RNA, 503 nt
Filed under: uncultured Acidobacteriota bacterium
Lineage: Bacteria; Pseudomonadati; Acidobacteriota
Description: bacterial SSU rRNA
Rfam family: Bacterial small subunit ribosomal RNA
Source: RNAcentral
GGCGGCGUGCCUAACACAUGCAAGUCGAACGAGAAAGUGGAGCAAUCCAUGAGUAAAGUGGCGCACGGGUGAGUAACACGUGACUAACCUACCCUUGAGUGGGGAAUAACUUCGGGAAACCGAGGCUAAUACCGCAUAACACCUACGGGUCAAAGGAGCAAUUCGCUUAAGGAGGGGGUCGCGGCAGAUUAGUUAGUUGGCAGGGUAAUGGCCUACCAAGACGGUGAUCUGUAUCCGGCCUGAGAGGGCGCACGGACACACUGGAACUGAAACACGGUCCAGACUCCUACGGGAGGCAGCAGUGGGGAAUUUUGCGCAAUGGGGGAAACCCUGACGCAGCAACGCCGCGUGGAGGAUGAAGUCCCUUGGGACGUAAACUCCUUUCGAUCGGGACGAUUAUGACGGUACCGGAAGAAGAAGCCUCGGCUAACUUCGUGCCAGCAGCCGCGGUAAUACGAAGGGGGCAAGCGUUGUUCGGAAUUAUUGGGCGUAAAGGGCGCGUA